This 524-nucleotide transfer RNA is filed under the name uncultured Prochlorococcus sp. RNAcentral's name for it is "partial 16S-23S ribosomal RNA intergenic spacer". The stretch from base 210 to 281 matches the Rfam family "tRNA". Lineage: Bacteria; Bacillati; Cyanobacteriota; Cyanophyceae; Synechococcales; Prochlorococcaceae. The record is from RNAcentral.
CAGGGAGACAACAAAAUGUUUAAAUUAUAAUUUUGUCACCUUAGGUCGAUCGGUAUCUCACAUUCUUAAUUUUUUAAGGAUUUCAUAUCCUAAGUUUUUCUAGGUCACACCCAUUAUUUUUCCUGGGCCAUUAGCUCAGGUGGUUAGAGCGCACCCCUGAUAAGGGUGAGGCCCUGGUUCAAGUCCAGGAUGGCCCAUAUCUCUAUGUUGGGGGUAUAGCUCAGUUGGAGAGCGCCUGCUUUGCAAGCAGGAUGUCAGCGGUUCGAGUCCGCUUACCUCCACUGAUUACCACCUCUCCCAUAAUUUAUAUAAAGGAAAUUUAUUGAGCUGUGAUCAAUUCUGAACGAAUCUAGCUUCCUAAUUAAACUUAUUAAGAUGCUGGACUCAUUGAAUUAAUUUCAUUGUUUUCAGAGAACCUUGACAACUGCAUAGAUUAUUUUUAAAGACAAUAAGCAUCUUUAUUGAUGCAGAUUUAUUAUUUUUGCUAAUGCAUUAAUAACAAUUCUAUUGAAGCUGAUGCUUCA